AUAUAUAUCAUAACUGCAAUCAUAGCACUGAAAUUAAAGGAACAGGAACAGCAAAAUCGCAUAGGAUUAGGAUAAACUAAUGAGGUAUGGAAUACGCGCCUUGUCCUCCAUCAGCAUCAAUGUCAUCUGCUUCAUUUUUUAUGUUGCCACACACAUUACACUCCAAGAGAUUAGACGACUGGUUAACAUUUGACGAAGGCAAAGGAGCUAGAGUUCCCCAGCAAUUUUCUCGAUUACACAUGUAUCUCACGAAGAAAU
RNAcentral lists this unclassified non-coding RNA (258 nucleotides) under Hevea brasiliensis (rubber tree). Lineage: Eukaryota; Viridiplantae; Streptophyta; Magnoliopsida; Malpighiales; Euphorbiaceae. The record is from RNAcentral.